UGGGGAAUAUUGCACAAUGGGCGCAAGCCUGAUGCAGCCAUGCCGCGUAGUAUGAAGAAGGCCUUCGGGUUGUAAAGUACUUUCAGCGGGGAGGAAGGCGUUGUGGUUAAUAACCACAGCGAUUGACGUUACCCGCAGAAGAAGCACCGGCUAACUUCCGUGCCAGCAAGCCGCGGUAAUACGGAGGGUGCAAGCGUUAAUCGGAAUUACUGGGCGUAAAGCGCACGCAGGCGGUCUGUCAAGUCGGAUGUGAAAUCCCCGGGCUCAACCUGGGAACUGCAUUCGAAACUGGCAGGCUAGAGUCUUGUAGAGGGGGGUAGAAUUCCAGGUGUAGCGGUGAAAAUGCGUAGAGAUCUGGAGGAAUACCGGUGGCGAAAGGCGGCCCCCUGGACAAAGACUGACGCUCAGGUGCG
RNAcentral lists this ribosomal RNA (413 nucleotides) under uncultured Enterobacteriaceae bacterium. RNAcentral's name for it is "bacterial SSU rRNA". It matches the Rfam family "Bacterial small subunit ribosomal RNA", at positions 355 to 755 of the family's 1533-position model. Lineage: Bacteria; Pseudomonadati; Pseudomonadota; Gammaproteobacteria; Enterobacterales; Enterobacteriaceae. The record is from RNAcentral.